This is a long non-coding RNA of Manis pentadactyla (Chinese pangolin), 1644 nucleotides long. RefSeq lists it as uncharacterized. NCBI's taxonomy places the organism in Eukaryota, Metazoa, Chordata, Mammalia, Pholidota, Manidae. The transcript has 3 exons. The record is from RefSeq and is a predicted model, not a curated record.
UGCCCCUUCUAGAGUGUGCUUGGAGCCCCGGGGGUGGGACGGCAGGGGGACGUGGAACUCAGGCUGGACUCCCAGCUCUUCGGGCCCCUGAAGUGUUGAGGGAGGUGCCUGCUGCCUGCCAGCCCCGUCAGUCAGGGCCUCGAGCGCAGGCGGAGUCCCUCGGUGUGCUGUGCACACCCGUGACUCCCCGGCAGCCGGGGAAAUGCUGCCUCACGCCUGCAUGCUUCUUAGCUGCCCGUGGCUUCUCCACGGGCCCAUCUGCCUGGUUUAUUGACAUGUGUCCCCAAGCCCUUUUCUGCCCCCCCUCCCCAUUUGGGCCAUUAACUGCCCCCAGUCCCUACCCUAAACUCUUGGCUGGCCCUCUGUGAUUGGAGUGUGGUCUCUGGGUCCUGCAGAGUCCAGGCCUGGGGAGGUGGGAGGAGACGGCUGUGGGAAAGGCCCUCGGGGACCCCUCAGGCCCUGUCACCCUCUGAGUGGGCUUCCGUCAGAACAAAGGGCGCCUCUGUGGACAGGCUGAGAACUGCGCUAACCUCUCAGGCCAGCGUGUCUUCAUCCACCUUUGGAUUCUUUUGUCCACUCCCUACAGAACCUUCCACUCCCAAACAUACCUCCUCCCUUUGUCCAGGCAGCAUGUCCAGCAGGAAUGCCCUGACCACCACUGCCAUCCAAAUUGCCCCUCCAAGCCCCAGCGUAAAUGCCCUGUUCUCCCUGCAGCCCCCAGCCCAAACUUCACCACGCUGACAUUCUGCCUGGUGCAUUUGAAAACCUUCCUGUCUCCCUCAUGGGCCCCAUGCGGGUCUGGCAAAGCCUAAGCUCAGCAAACACCCACCAAUAAUAGGCCAACAGUGGGAGUAUUUUCCAGAAUGGAGUUGGUGCUCCCCACGGCUCAUCUGACCUGACAGCAGCUCCCACGUUCUGGUCAGCAGGGAGAGAGCUGUGAGGGCCUGGCCUCCCACUCGCGCCCAGCGGCUGUUCAGGUCAAGCUGUGGCCGCCCCAUGGGCUCAAGUGCACCUGAUCUCUGACAGCAGCUGUGCCAGGAGUACAGGCUGUCCUGGGCGGCAGUGGGGGCUGCGUGAGGCUCCCUGCAGCUCAGCCCCGCCGCCCCCAGCCAGAGUGUGGGCCAGAGCAGUCCUGGUCUGCAUAGACCUGGGAAAACUCGGGCUCCAUGGAGAUCCCCCAGGAUGCAGUGGGUGCCUGAAGCAGGCAUGACAAAGCUGGGGAAGCGAGGGAAGGCUUCUCAGAAAAGGAGCAUUUAAGUUGGGCUUUGAAAGGCCCCGUCCUGGGCAGGGCGCUGGCCCAGCGCACACGCUCACACCAGUCUGAGCCCCAGCGAGACCAGUUCCGUGCGGACGCUCCACCCUGAGAAGCUCUGACGCCUCGCCUCUGUUUUCUCAUCUGUUCGCCCACCUUCACAAAACGGCUGCGGUCAGAAGAGACUGGGUACAGUCACGGGUGAGAGGGUCGGCGCUCGACGCCAGCCAGGACCGCCUUGGGUCCGGCAGCACGUCUCAGAUUGGGGCUCUCCCCCACCAGACAGACCAGCGAGGCUGGGGUCUCCGGAGCAAGCAGGGUGCAGAGAGGCGGGGCAGGCUCACGCCGAGACCAACCCAUGGAGAAUAAAUAAAUAAAUAAAUAAUGUAGGA